RNAcentral lists this ribosomal RNA (497 nucleotides) under uncultured bacterium. Its description in RNAcentral is "partial 16S ribosomal RNA". It matches the Rfam family "Bacterial small subunit ribosomal RNA", at positions 28 to 507 of the family's 1533-position model. The record is from RNAcentral.
GAUGAACGCUGGCGGCGUGCCUAAUACAUGCAAGUCGAGCGAACAGACGAGGAGCUUGCUCCUCUGACGUUAGCGGCGGACGGGUGAGUAACACGUGGAUAACCUACCUAUAAGACUGGGAUAACUUCGGGAAACCGGAGCUAAUACCGGAUAAUAUAUUGAACCGCAUGGUUCAAUAGUGAAAGACGGUUUUGCUGUCACUUAUAGAUGGAUCCGCGCCUCAUUAGCUAGUUGGUAAGGUAACGGCUUACCAAGGCAACGAUGCGUAGCCGACCUGAGAGGGUGACCGGCCACACUGGAACUGAGACACGGCCCAGACUCCUACGGGAGGAAGCAGUAGGGAACCUUCCGCAAUGGGCGAAAGCCUGACGGAGCAACGCCGCGUGAGUGAUGAAGGUCUUCGGAUCGUAAAACUCUGUUAUUAGGGAAGAACAAAUGUGUAAGUAACUAUGCACGUCUUGACGGUACCUAAUCAGAAAGCCACGGCUAACUACGUG